This 589-nucleotide ribosomal RNA is filed under the name uncultured Planctomycetota bacterium. Its description in RNAcentral is "bacterial SSU rRNA". It matches the Rfam family "Bacterial small subunit ribosomal RNA", at positions 347 to 928 of the family's 1533-position model. Lineage: Bacteria; Pseudomonadati; Planctomycetota. The record is from RNAcentral.
GGCUGCAGUCGAGGAUCUUCCGCAAUGGGCGAAAGCCUGACGGAGCGACACCGCGUGGAGGAUGAAGGCCUUCGGGUUGUAAACUCCUGUCACGAGUUAAGAAGCCACUGCAUCGAACAGGUGUAGGGGUUGACGUAAGCUCGAGAGGAAGCACUGGCUAACUCUGUGCCAGCAGCCGCGGUAAUACAGAGAGUGCAAACGUUGUUCGGAAUUACUGGGCUUAAAGCGCACGUAGGCUGCGUCGUAAGUGUCAGGUGAAAUCCCACGGCUUACCCGUGGAACUGCCUGGCAGACUGCGAUGCUUGAGUGUGGUAGGGGAGAGCGGAACUCCUGGUGGAGCGGUGAAAUGCGUAGACAUCAGGAGGAACACCGGUGGCGAAGGCGGCUCUCUGGUCCACAACUGACGCUGAGGUGCGAAAGCUAGGGGAGCAAACGGGAUUAGAUACCCCGGUAGUCCUAGCUGUAAACGAUGGGCACUAGCUUGGGGUCUCCCUGUGGGAUCCCAGGUGAAGCAAAAGUGCUAAGUGCCCCGCCUGGGGAGUAUGGUCGCAAGGCUGAAACUCAAAGGAAUUGACGGGGGCUCACACAA